AUUGCCUCAGUAACGGCGAGUGAAGCGGCAACAGCUCAAAUUUGAAAUCUGUCUCCUUCGGAGUCCGAGUUGUAAUUUGUAGAGGGUGUUUCGGGUGAGGCGCCGGCCUAAGUUCCUUGGAACAGGACGUCAUAGAGGGUGAGAAUCCCGUAUGCGGCCGGUGACCGACCCCAUGUGAAACCCCUUCGACGAGUCGAGUUGUUUGGGAAUGCAGCUCAAAAUGGGUGGUAAAUUUCAUCUAAAGCUAAAUACCGGCCAGAGACCGAUAGCGCACAAGUAGAGUGAUCGAAAGAUGAAAAGCACUUUGGAAAGAGAGUUAAAAAGUACGUGAAAUUGUUGAAAGGGAAGCGCUUGCAACCAGACCCGUCUCCGGGUGAUCAGCCUCCGUUCUCGGGGGUGCACUCGCCCGGUUAUGGGCCAGCAUCGGUUCGGGCGGUCGGAUAAAGGCCAAAGGAAUGUAGCUUCCUUCGGGGAGUGUUAUAGCCUUGGUGCCAUGCGGCCAGCCCGGACCGAGGAUCGCGCUUCGGCUAGGAUGCUGGCGUAAUGGUUGUAAGCGGCCCGUCUUGAAACACGGACCAAGGAGUCUAAUAUUUAUGCAAGUGUUUGGGUGUUAAACCCAUGCGCGGAAUGAAAGUGAACGGAGGUGGGAACCCAUUAGGGCGCACCAUCGACCGAUCCGGAAGUUUACGGAUGGAUUUGAGUACGAGCAUAACUAUUGGGACCCGAAAGAUGGUGAACUAUGCCUGAAUAGGGUGAAGCCAGGGGAAACCCUGGUGGAGGCUCGCAGCGGUUCUGACGUGCAAAUCGAUCGUCAAAUUUGGGUAUAGGGGCGAAAGACUA
RNAcentral lists this ribosomal RNA (840 nucleotides) under Rinodina pyrina. Its description in RNAcentral is "partial large subunit ribosomal RNA". It matches the Rfam family "Eukaryotic large subunit ribosomal RNA", at positions 74 to 933 of the family's 3401-position model. Lineage: Eukaryota; Fungi; Ascomycota; Lecanoromycetes; Caliciales; Physciaceae. The record is from RNAcentral.